RNAcentral lists this long non-coding RNA (468 nucleotides) under Homo sapiens (human). RNAcentral's name for it is "non-protein coding lnc-DNAAF1-5:1". Lineage: Eukaryota; Metazoa; Chordata; Mammalia; Primates; Hominidae. The record is from RNAcentral.
AUACACGUAUAAUUAAAAAUUUUUGACAUCAAGUACUAACUGAAAAAGACACCGUUCAAAUUAUAGAAAUAGAAAAUAGUAUUUAAUGGGAUUUGAGUAGAAGGGAGACUCAGUAGAAGAAAUGUAUUACUUGCGCAAGCAACUGGCCUAGCUGGUGGCUAGCAUUCUUUGCAGCUCUUGGAGUCUCCCACUUACAAUUUUCACAAUAAAAGAAUAUCACAAAGAUUAUAAUUCUGGGCAUAACUAAAAUACAUCUGAAAUUAUCUCUUUAAAAAUAAUUAGAACAUAAUUUAGGUGAGUGAAAAUGACUUGUAUCACCCGACAAUCAUCUAAUUAUGCAGCUAUGCCUUGCUUUGUAAUAAACUAGUUUACUAAAAUAGCUCCAAAGGAGACUGAAUUGUGUUUAGACCACGAAAGGUUACUAUCCAGUCCAAUUAAAAGUCGGCUGAAAAACUACCACCUUCAGAA